Molecule: long non-coding RNA, 1119 nt
Organism: Phyllostomus hastatus (greater spear-nosed bat)
Lineage: Eukaryota; Metazoa; Chordata; Mammalia; Chiroptera; Phyllostomidae
Exons: 2
Source: RefSeq, a predicted model, not a curated record
UCAAGAGGAUCCACAAAGGGGCUGGAAACACUCACAUCAUGAGGAAUGGGUGAGUUUUGAGAACAAUUGGCUUGAGUGGCAUCUACUCCUCACGCACCCACUUCUUUAUGGUUUUCAAGGAGCAGCUGACACCAUCAGCCCAUCACACAACAGCUCAGAUAACACGAGUGGUGAGCAGGAGAAUCCUCAGUUGUGGGGCUGGGUGCAGAGGGUCCUGUUUGUCAGGGUCAGACUAGUGUGCUGGUUGGGCAUCCAGGAUCUGGGGGAUGACUUUGUCUGCUGCGACCUCUGUGACAUCUUUGUCCACAUUUCCUAGACUCCCACCCCCAAGACUACACAGUGGGGAAUCUCAUCCACAUGGGCAUGGCUCUGCUGGUCCUGGUGGUCCUCGGAGUCCUGCUGUUUCAGGCUCAAGACAGUGAGAGAAUGGCCCAGGCUGCUGCCAAGACCUGAACACAGAGCUAAAGGAGCACUGGUCAGACUGCCUUGAUGUUCAUAUGAAGUGCCCAUCCACUCAGUUCACAGCAUGCAUUCUAUUUUAAUGAAUCCAUGAGCUGGCAUCACAAACAUUUAGCCCACAGAGAUAAAUCUCAAAUGAUGCCCUAGCACCCUCUCUGGACCCCGCGUGCCUUCACCUUUCCUCAGAUGGCACCUGUGGACUUUCCCUAGGAACCUCCUCACUCUGAGUCAAGGCUAUUGUAUCCUUGGAAGGAAAGAUAUUUGCAUUGCUUUUUUUGGAGAGGUAGAAGAGAGAGAGACAUAUAUGGAUGUGAGAGGAAUGUGAAUGUUAGAAAUGAACAUUGAUUCAUUGCUUCCCAUAUGUGCCUGGAUAGGGGAUGGAAAUUGCAAUCUAGGUAUGUGCCCUGACUGGGAAUGGAAACCACAAACUUCUGGUUAUGGGACGAUGCUCCAACCAACUCAACCACACCAGCCUGGGGUAAAUCAAACCAUUUUUAUUUGAAGGGAUCAGCUGAGUUGCACUGCUUGAGAACAACCCAUUGUUAAAAACAUAGUGAAGUGUACAGAUAAUGUGUUAGAGAAUUGUACAUUGAAACCUAUAUAAUUUUAUUACUGAUUAACUGAAUUCCACUUAAUAAAACACUGGUUUUUUGGCAUUUU